Molecule: transfer RNA, 76 nt
Filed under: Candidatus Levybacteria bacterium RIFCSPHIGHO2_01_FULL_41_15
Lineage: Bacteria; Candidatus Levyibacteriota
Also listed under: 1 other name
Description: tRNA-Ala
Rfam family: tRNA
About the family: Transfer RNA (tRNA) molecules are approximately 80 nucleotides in length. Their secondary structure includes four short double-helical elements and three loops (D, anti-codon, and T loops).
Source: RNAcentral
GGGCCUGUAGCGUAACGGUUAUCGCGCUUCCAUGGCAUGGAAGAGAUUAGGGGUUCGAUUCCCCUCAGGUCCACCA